RNAcentral lists this ribosomal RNA (440 nucleotides) under uncultured bacterium. RNAcentral's name for it is "partial 16S ribosomal RNA". It matches the Rfam family "Bacterial small subunit ribosomal RNA", at positions 338 to 795 of the family's 1533-position model. The record is from RNAcentral.
CCUACGGGUGGCAGCAGUGGGGAAUAUUGCACAAUGGGGGAAACCCUGAUGCAGCGACGCCGCGUGAGUGAAGAAGUAAUUCGGUAUGUAAAGCUCUAUCAGCAGGGAAGAAAAUGACGGUAUCUGAGUAAGAAGCCCCGGCUAACUCCGUGCCAGCAGCCGCGGUAAUACGUAGGGGGCAAGCGUUAUCCGGAUUUACUGGGUGUAAGGGGAGAGUAGACGGCAUAGCAAGUCUGGAGUGAAAGGCGGGGGCUCAACCCCCGGACUGCACUGGAAACUGUACGGCUGGAGUGGGGGAGAGGGAAGUGGAAUUCUUAGUGGAGCGGUGAAAGGCGUAGAGAGUAAGAGGAAUACCAGUGGCGAAGGCGACCUACUGGACCAUAACUGACGCUGAGGCUCGAAAGCGUGGGGAGCAAACAGGAUUAGAUACCCUUGUAGUC